Molecule: ribosomal RNA, 457 nt
Filed under: uncultured bacterium
Lineage: Bacteria
Description: bacterial SSU rRNA
Rfam family: Bacterial small subunit ribosomal RNA
Source: RNAcentral
GACGCUGGCGGCGUGCCUAACACAUGCAAGUCGAACGAGGUCCAUCCUUCGGGAGAAGACCUAGUGGCGAACGGGUGAGUAACACGUGAAGAACCUGCCCCGAAGACCGGGAUAACCCUCCGAAAGGAGAGCUAAUACCGGAUACCCCCACCGAACCGCAUGGUUUGGUGAGGAAAUGGAUUCCGCUUCGGGAGGGCUUCGCGGCCUAUCAGCUAGUUGGUGGGGUAACGACCCACCAAGGCAUCGACGGGUAGCUGGUCUGAGAGGACGAUCAGCCACACUGGGACUGAGACACGGCCCAGACUCCUACGGGAGGCAGCAGUGGGGAAUCUUGCGCAAUGGGCGAAAGCCUGACGCAGCAACGCCGCGUGGGGAUGAAGGCUCUCGGGUUGUAAACCCCUUUCAGCAGGGACGAAUCAAGACGGUACCUGCAGAAGAAGCCCCGGCUAACUACGUG